RNAcentral lists this small RNA (794 nucleotides) under uncultured Actinomycetes bacterium. Its description in RNAcentral is "bacterial SSU rRNA". The stretch from base 1 to 471 matches the Rfam family "Bacterial small subunit ribosomal RNA", at positions 1064 to 1533 of the family's 1533-position model. Lineage: Bacteria; Bacillati; Actinomycetota; Actinomycetes. The record is from RNAcentral.
GUCGUGAGAUGUUGGGUUAAGUCCCGCAACGAGCGCAACCCUUAUCCUAUGUUGCCAGCGCGUAAUGGCGGGGACUCGUAGGAGACUGCCGGGGUCAACUCGGAGGAAGGUGGGGACGACGUCAAGUCAUCAUGCCCCUUACGUCCAGGGCUGCAAACAUGCUACAAUGGCCGGUACAAAGGGCUGCUAUCCCGCGAGGGUGAGCGAAUCCCAAAAAGCCGGUCUCAGUUCGGAUUGGAGUCUGCAACUCGACUCCAUGAAGCUGGAGUUGCUAGUAAUCCCGGAUCAGCAUCGCCGGGGUGAAUACGUUCCCGGGCCUUGUACACACCGCCCGUCACACCACGAAAGUCGGUAACACCCGAAGCCAGUGGCCCAACCGCAAGGAGGGAGCUGUCGAAGGUGGGACCAGCGAUUGGGGUGAAGUCGUAACAAGGUAGCCGUACCGGAAGGUGCGGCUGGAUCACCUCCUUUCUAAGGAGAUUCGCCACAUUCCGUGGCGUACUCCGAGUCGAUCACUCGUUAUUCGACCUCCUCGAGCCCCACCGAUUCGCAGGACUUGUCCUCAUCGGUGACCGGUUCGAAGUGGUCGGUCCCUCCUCUGUUCCGUUUUCUAGGGGCGCUUUGUCGCGCCUCGCUCCUUGAGAGUUGGAUAGCAAGCACGAGCAUCUUUUUGAAUUGAUUUCCAAGCUACAAAGAGCCAACGGUGGAUGCCUUGGCGCCUGAUGCCGAUGGAGGACGUGGGUGACUGCGAAAAGUCACGGGGAGCUGUCUACCAAGCUUUGAUCCGUGGAUAU